CGGGUGUAGUUCAAUGGUAGAAUACCAGCUUCCCAAGCUGAUUACGGGGGUUCGAUUCCCCUCACCC
RNAcentral lists this transfer RNA (67 nucleotides) under human gut metagenome. It matches the Rfam family "tRNA". From Rfam's summary of the family: Transfer RNA (tRNA) molecules are approximately 80 nucleotides in length. Their secondary structure includes four short double-helical elements and three loops (D, anti-codon, and T loops). Further hydrogen bonds mediate the characteristic L-shaped molecular structure. tRNAs have two regions of fundamental functional importance: the anti-codon, which is responsible for specific mRNA codon recognition, and the 3' end, to which the tRNAs corresponding amino acid is attached (by aminoacyl-tRNA synthetases). tRNAs cope with the degeneracy of the genetic code in two manners: having more than one tRNA (with a specific anti-codon) for a particular amino acid; and 'wobble' base-pairing, i.e. permitting non-standard base-pairing at the 3rd anti-codon position. The record is from RNAcentral. RNAcentral also lists the same sequence under 1 other name.